This is a long non-coding RNA of Dipodomys ordii (Ord's kangaroo rat), 900 nucleotides long. RefSeq lists it as uncharacterized. The record is from RefSeq and is a predicted model, not a curated record. NCBI's taxonomy places the organism in Eukaryota, Metazoa, Chordata, Mammalia, Rodentia, Heteromyidae. The transcript has 4 exons.
CUGGAGAAUUGAAGGCAGAACCUCUCCUGCUUGCAAGGCAAGCCUCGCCCUGUGAAUGCGGCUGCAUCUCUUCAGACUUAAUCAACAUUUCUGGACUGGAGGCGGUGUGGUGCUGGGUGAACCCAGGAGGACAUUUGCACGUGAAACCACCAAUGGUGUUCACACACAGGAACUGGCAGUUGUGCUGCUUGGUUGCACACUCAUCAAGAUCUGCAAGAAAAAAUGGCGUUGCGCUGAGCGGACGACACAGGUCCAGAGAAGCGGCCCUUAGCCAGCUGGGCCACGUCUCCAGCAACCCUGGCCAGAACAGAGCCCGCGAAUGGUACCCUUAUGCACAGGACAUCUGAGAAAACCUCCUAUGGCCGUCUCAGUGCUCGCUUCCCUGAAGAUGGAGCCUGUCCUCUAUUGUUCCCUGCUGACAAGCUGACUGAUGUUCUACCCUGAGUCCGUGACUAACUUCCCCUCUCCAGGACCCUAGAAGCUUUGCUAUAGCAUCUUCAUAUCUUUAUAGAAGGUCACCUGAGACAGGGCCAAUAGAGAACACCCCCCCAUGGAGACACAUGUGGCCUUUUGCUCUGCUCAGGCUAUGAAGCUCGCCUCCUGCUGAGUUCGCAUAAUCAAGUCACAGCAGGGGACCCUUAUCUAAUAUUGCAUCUUCAAAAUAAGGAAAGCUCUCUGUGUUUGAAGUUAAUCCUGGAAAAUACCAAAUUACAUAAUAUUGCGGAAAUGGAACAUCUUCUUUUCUUUGAUGAAAAAGGAAAUGAACCAGGGCUUUGGGUGGAUAGAGACUGGAUUUUGCCACCUAGUAAGAGAGACAGACCCUUAUUCUUGGCCCCACCACAGAGAGUAGUACUUGGCCAGUGUACUGUUUAGCAUGAAAACUACUGUCUUCCACCCCUC